CCUUGCAUCUGAAAAUAGUAUUUAACAAUUCUCUGUGUUACUCCUAAAAUCGUCUAACGUAUUUUUUAUUUAACAAUUUAACAUAUGGGUGACUAAACUGGCAGUUCCACUUGCCAUAUGCUAUUUUCAGUCAAAUUUCCAUAUUGGAUUUUUUUUUUUUUGUAAUAAGAUUAAAAAAAUAGAAAAUAAAAUAAAAGUUGAAGGUGUCAUUACAGUUUCAGGUUUAUCAGGGGAAAAAAUUCUGCAUUUUGUAAGUUGAUCAGAUGAAAUUAUAUUGUGAAAAAGGCUAUAAGAUAUCUUCAGUUUUUUUGUCAAUAUGUGAAAUUGUGAAUAAACGGAGAUGUUGGACAUACGUCAAACAGACAGCAGACGAAAC
Molecule: long non-coding RNA, 376 nt
Filed under: Mytilus galloprovincialis (Mediterranean mussel)
Lineage: Eukaryota; Metazoa; Mollusca; Bivalvia; Mytilida; Mytilidae
Source: RNAcentral